RNAcentral lists this ribosomal RNA (800 nucleotides) under Halomonas sp. K123. RNAcentral describes it as "bacterial SSU rRNA". It matches the Rfam family "Bacterial small subunit ribosomal RNA", at positions 62 to 859 of the family's 1533-position model. Lineage: Bacteria; Pseudomonadati; Pseudomonadota; Gammaproteobacteria; Oceanospirillales; Halomonadaceae. The record is from RNAcentral.
UCGAGCGGUAACAGAUCUAGCUUGCUACACGCUGACGAGCGGCGGACGGGUGAGUAAUGCAUAGGAAUCUGCCCGAUAGUGGGGGAUAACCUGGGGAAACCCAGGCUAAUACCGCAUACGUCCUACGGGAGAAAGGGGGCUUCGGCUCCCGCUAUUGGAUGAGCCUAUGUCGGAUUAGCUAGUUGGUAAGGUAAUGGCUUACCAAGGCAACGAUCCGUAGCUGGUCUGAGAGGAUGAUCAGCCACAUCGGGACUGAGACACGGCCCGAACUCCUACGGGAGGCAGCAGUGGGGAAUAUUGGACAAUGGGGGCAACCCUGAUCCAGCCAUGCCGCGUGUGUGAAGAAGGCCCUCGGGUUGUAAAGCACUUUCAGCGAGGAAGAACGCCUAUCGGUUAAUACCCGGUAGGAAAGACAUCACUCGCAGAAGAAGCACCGGCUAACUCCGUGCCAGCAGCCGCGGUAAUACGGAGGGUGCAAGCGUUAAUCGGAAUUACUGGGCGUAAAGCGCGCGUAGGUGGCUUGAUAAGCCGGUUGUGAAAGCCCCGGGCUCAACCUGGGAACGGCAUCCGGAACUGUCAGGCUAGAGUGCAGGAGAGGAAGGUAGAAUUCCCGGUGUAGCGGUGAAAUGCGUAGAGAUCGGGAGGAAUACCAGUGGCGAAGGCGGCCUUCUGGACUGACACUGACACUGAGGUGCGAAAGCGUGGGUAGCAAACAGGAUUAGAUACCCUGGUAGUCCACGCCGUAAACGAUGUCGACCAGCCGUUGGGUGCCUAGAGCACUUUGUGGCGAAGUUAACGCG